AUACGUAGGGGGCGAGCGUUGUCCGGAAUGAUUGGGCGUAAAGGGCGCGUAGGCGGCCUGUUAAGUCUGGAGUGAAAGUCCUGUUUUCAAGAUGGGAAUUGCUUUGGAUACUGAUGGGCUUGAGUGCAGGAGAGGUUAUCGGAAUUCCCGGUGUAGCGGUGAAAUGCGUAGAGAUCGGGAGGAACACCAGUGGCGAAGGCGGGUAACUGGACUGCAACUGACGCUGAGGCGCGAAAGUGUGGGGAGCAAACAGGAUUAGAUACCCUGGUAGUCCACACUGUAAACGAUGAAUGCUAGGUGUAAGAGGUAUCGACCCCUUUUGUGCCGGAGUUAACACAAUAAGCAUUCCGCCUGGGGAGUACGGCCGCAAGGUUGAAACUUAAAGGAAUUGGCGGGG
RNAcentral lists this ribosomal RNA (397 nucleotides) under uncultured bacterium. RNAcentral describes it as "partial 16S ribosomal RNA". It matches the Rfam family "Bacterial small subunit ribosomal RNA", at positions 523 to 918 of the family's 1533-position model. The record is from RNAcentral.